This 1432-nucleotide ribosomal RNA is filed under the name Burkholderia sp. RNAcentral's name for it is "bacterial SSU rRNA". It matches the Rfam family "Bacterial small subunit ribosomal RNA". Lineage: Bacteria; Pseudomonadati; Pseudomonadota; Betaproteobacteria; Burkholderiales; Burkholderiaceae. The record is from RNAcentral.
CAUGGCUCAGAUUGAACGCUGGCGGCAAGCCUUACACAUGCAAGUCGAACGGCAGCACGGGUGCUUGCACCUGGUGGCGAGAGGCGAACGGGUGAGUAAUACAUCGGAACAUGUCCUGUAGUGGGGGAUAGCGCGGCGAAAGCCGGAUUAAUACCGCAUACGAUCCACGGAUGAAAGCGGGGGACCUUCGGGCCUCGCGCUAUAGGGUUGGCCGAUGGCUGAUUAGCUAGUUGGUGGGGUAAAGGCCUACCAAGGCGACGAUCAGUAGCUGGUCUGAGAGGACGACCAGCCACACUGGGACUGAGACACGGCCCAGAGUCCUACGGGAGGCAGCAGUGGGGAAUUUUGGACAAUGGGCGAAAGCCAGAUCCAGCAAUGCCGCGUGUGUGAAGAAGGCCUUCGGGUUGUAAAGCACUGUUGUCCGGAAAGAAAUCCUUGGCUCUAAUACAGUCGGGGGAUGACGGUACCGGAAGAAUAAGCACCGGCUAACUACGUGCCAGCAGCCGCGGUAAUACGUAGGGUGCAAGCGUUAAUCGGAAUUAGUGGGCGUAAAGCGUGCGCAGGCGGUUUGCUAAGACCGAUGUGAAAUCCCCGGGCUCAACCUGGGAACUGCAUUGGUGACUGGCAGGCUAGAGUAUGGCAGAGGGGGGUAGAAUUCCACGUGUAGCAGUGAAAUGCGUAGAGAUGUGGAGGAAUACCGAUGGCGAAGGCAGCCCCCUGGGCCAAUACUGACGCUCAUGCACGAAAGCGUGGGGAGCAAACAGGAUUAGAUACCCUGGUAGUCCACGCCCUAAACGAUGUCAAGUAGUUGUUGGGGAUUCAUUUCCUUAGUAACGUAGCUAACGCGUGAAGUUGACCGCCUGGGGAGUACGGUCGCAAGAUUAAAACUCAAAGGAAUUGACGGGGACCCGCACAAGCGGUGGAUGAUGUGGAUUAAUUCGAUGCAACGCGAAAAACCUUACCUACCCUUGACAUGGUCGGAAUCCUGCAGAGAGGUGGGAGUGCUCGAAAGAGAACCGGCGCACAGGUGCUGCAUGGCUGUCGUCAGCUCGUGUCGUGAGAUGUUGGGUUAAGUCCCGCAACGAGCGCAACCGUUGUCCUUAGUUGCUACGCAAGAGCACUCUAAGGAGACUGCCGGUGACAAACCGGAGGAAGGUGGGGAUGACGUCAAGUCCUCAUGGCCCUUAUGGGUAGGGCUUCACACGUCAUACAAUGGUCGGAACAGAGGGUUGCCAACCCGCGAGGGGGAGCUAAUCCCAGAAAACCGAUCGUAGUCCGGAUUGCACUCUGGAACUCGAGUGCAUGAAGCUGGAAUCGCUAGUAAUCGCGGAUCAGCAUGCCGCGGUGAAUACGUUCCCCGGGUCUUGUACACACCGCCCGUCACACCAUGGGAGUGGGUUUUACCAGAAGUGGCUAGUCUAACCGCANGAGA